GGGCGUAAGCGUGCGUAGGCGGUGAGUUAAGUCUGUUGUGAAAUCCCCCGGGCUCAACCUGGGAAUGGCAAUGGAUACUGGCUCGCUAGAGUGUGAUAGAGGAUGGUGGAAUUCCCGGUGUAGCGGUGAAAUGCGUAGAGAUCGGGAGGAACAUCAGUGGCGAAGGCGGCCAUCUGGAUCAACACUGACGCUGAGGCACGAAAGCGUGGGGAGCAAACAGGAUUAGAUACCCUGGUAGUCCACGCCCUAAACGAUGCGAACUGGAUGUUGGUCUCAACUCGGAGAUCAGUGUCGAAGCUAACGCGUUAAGUUCGCCGCCUGGGGAGUACGGUCGCAAGACUGAAACUCAAAGGAAUUGACGGGGGCCCGCACAAGCGGUGGAGUAUGUGGUUUAAUUCGAUGCAACGCGAAGAACCUUACCUGGCCUUGACAUGUCUGGAAUCCUGCAGAGAUGCGGGAGUGCCUUCGGGAAUCAGAACACAGGUGCUGCAUGGCUGUCGUCAGCUCGUGUCGUGAGAUGUUGGGUUAAGUCCCGCAACGAGCGCAACCCUUGUCCUUAGUUGCCAGCACGUAAUGGUGGGAACUCUAAGGAGACUGCCGGUGACAAACCGGAGGAAGGUGGGGAUGACGUCAAGUCAUCAUGGCCCCUUACGGCCAGGGCUACACACGUACUACAAUGGUCGGUACAGAGGGUUGCAAUACCCGCGAGGUGGAGCCAAUCCCAGAAAGCCGAUCCCAGUCCGGGAUCGUAGUCUGCACUCGACUACGUGAAGUCGAAUCGCUAGUAAUCGCGAUCAGCUAUGCCGCGGUGAAUACGUUUCUCGGGCUUGCACUCACCCGCCCGUC
RNAcentral lists this ribosomal RNA (846 nucleotides) under uncultured bacterium. Its description in RNAcentral is "bacterial SSU rRNA". It matches the Rfam family "Bacterial small subunit ribosomal RNA", at positions 556 to 1398 of the family's 1533-position model. The record is from RNAcentral.